UGUAUUGACAGCAGUACUAAAGCCAUAGUUCAAGUUGAAGAACUGAUAUUUUAUCUAAGGAUCAAAUACUUUCUGCAUUGCAAUUACCUUAUUCGAUAAGAUCGAAAUAAAGUUGACCUUAGAAAGAUCGACUGAAAGGAGAACUUGGCCGACCCAUUGACUAAAGCAAUCAGAUCUAAUGAGUUUGAUGAUCUCAAAUGAAAGAUGGAUAUUUGAUACCGAUCUAAUUGGCUUUAGUCCAAGUGAGAGUUGUUGAAAAAUAUAUCCUAAAGUUAAUCAUCUAGGUUAUAGAUGAUUGUGCUUCAUACAUGAAUAUGAAUUAAAAAAAUGAUAAAUAUUAUCAGGUAUAUUCAUCAUAAGGAAUACAUCUUCCUAAAUAGAACUCAUAUGUUAUGAUGAAGUCCUUAGAACUACUUUCAAAAUGAUAAAAGAGGAUUUAUC
This 441-nucleotide long non-coding RNA is filed under the name Elaeis guineensis (African oil palm). Its description in RNAcentral is "long non-coding RNA (EGUI_LNC053668)". The record is from RNAcentral. Lineage: Eukaryota; Viridiplantae; Streptophyta; Magnoliopsida; Arecales; Arecaceae.